AGUGAACGCUGGCGGUAGGCCUAACACAUGCAAGUCGAACGGCAGCACAGUAAGAGCUUGCUCUUACGGGUGGCGAGUGGCGGACGGGUGAGGAAUACAUCGGAAUCUACUUUUUCGUGGGGGAUAACGUAGGGAAACUUACGCUAAUACCGCAUACGACCUACGGGUGAAAGCAGGGGAUCUUCGGACCUUGCGCGAUUGAAUGAGCCGAUGUCGGAUUAGCUAGUUGGCGGGGUAAAGGCCCACCAAGGCGACGAUCCGUAGCUGGUCUGAGAGGAUGAUCAGCCACACUGGGACUGAGACCCGGUCCAGAGUCCUACGGGAGGCAGCAGUGGGGAAUAUUGGACAAUGGGCGCAAGCCUGAUCCAGCCAUACCGCGUGGGUGAAGAAGGCCUUCGGGUUGUAAAGCCCUUUUGUUGGGAAAGAAAAGCAGCAGGUUAAUACCCCGCUGUUCUGACGGUACCCAAAGAAUAAGCACCGGCUAACUUCGUG
RNAcentral lists this ribosomal RNA (492 nucleotides) under uncultured bacterium. RNAcentral describes it as "partial 16S ribosomal RNA". It matches the Rfam family "Bacterial small subunit ribosomal RNA", at positions 29 to 507 of the family's 1533-position model. The record is from RNAcentral.